ACGCGUGGAACCUUACCAGGUCUUGACAUCCUUCGCUACUUCUAGAGAUAGAAGGUUCCCCUUCGGGGGACGAAGUGACAGGUGGUGCAUGGUUGUCGUCAGCUCGUGUCGUGAGAUGUUGGGUUAAGUCCCGCAACGAGCGCAACCCUUGAUCUUAGUUGCCAGCAUUCAGUUGGGCACUCUAAGGUGACUGCCGGUGACAAACCGGAGGAAGGUGGGGAUGACGUCAAAUCAUCAUGCCCCUUAUGACCUGGGCUACACACGUGCUACAAUGGACGGUACAAACGGUUGCCAACCCGCGAGGGGGAGCUAAUCCGAUAAAACCGUUCUCAGUUCGGAUUGUAGGCUGCAACUCGCCUACAUGAAGCCGGAAUCGCUAGUAAUCGCGGAUCAGCAUGCCGCGGUGAAUACGUUCCCGGGCCUUGCACUCACCGCCCGU
Molecule: ribosomal RNA, 439 nt
Filed under: uncultured bacterium
Lineage: Bacteria
Description: bacterial SSU rRNA
Rfam family: Bacterial small subunit ribosomal RNA
Source: RNAcentral